Molecule: long non-coding RNA, 304 nt
Organism: Falco peregrinus (peregrine falcon)
Lineage: Eukaryota; Metazoa; Chordata; Aves; Falconiformes; Falconidae
Exons: 2
Source: RefSeq, a predicted model, not a curated record
GCUCAGGCCAGAGAGAGGUGAUCCUGCCCUUGUGUAAAUCCCUCCUUUCCCAAGGCAGCUGCCAAGUCAGAGAGUCCUUCAUUUCAUCUUGGAGGCUCUCUGCUCCAGGGAAGGAGAACAAAUGUAAUGGGGAUGAUGGAUCUCAGGGGUGAAGAGUGUUACAUGGAGUAACAAGUAAGAGGUCACACAACCUUCAUGUAUGAUCUUCAAAUUCAAGGACUGUGAUUUCUUUGUAUCUUGAACUAUGCUAUGAAAGUUAAUAAUAAUACAUCCAUCAAGAAAUAAAAUACUGACAUCUAGAAUA